GUGUCAGCAGCCGCGGUAAUACGGAGGGGGCUAGCGUUGUUCGGAAUUACUGGGCGUAAAGGGCGCGCAGGCGGCUGCUCAAGUCAGGCGUGAAAGGCCUGGGCUCAACCCGGGAAUUGCGCUUGAGACUGGGCUGGCUUGAGUGCGGGAGAGGAUGGUGGAAUUCCCAGUGUAGAGGUGAAAUUCGUAGAUAUUGGGAAGAACACCGGUGGCGAAGGCGGCCAUCUGGACCGCAACUGACGCUGAGGCGCGAAAGCGUGGGGAGCAAACAGGAUUAGAUACCCUGGUAGUCCACGCCGUAAACGAUGAGUGCUAGACGUUGGGGAGCCUAGCUUUCCGGUGUCGCAGCUAACGCAUUAAGCACUCCGCCUGGGGAGUACGGCCGCAAGGUUAAA
Molecule: ribosomal RNA, 395 nt
Filed under: uncultured bacterium
Lineage: Bacteria
Description: bacterial SSU rRNA
Rfam family: Bacterial small subunit ribosomal RNA
Source: RNAcentral